This 710-nucleotide ribosomal RNA is filed under the name Arthrobacter sp. 1.1-05. RNAcentral describes it as "bacterial SSU rRNA". It matches the Rfam family "Bacterial small subunit ribosomal RNA", at positions 54 to 778 of the family's 1533-position model. The record is from RNAcentral. Lineage: Bacteria; Bacillati; Actinomycetota; Actinomycetes; Micrococcales; Micrococcaceae.
CAUGCAGUCGAACGAUGAUGCCCACUUGUGGGUGGAUUAGUGGCGAACGGGUGAGUAACACGUGAGUAACCUGCCCUUAACUCUGGGAUAAGCCUGGGAAACUGGGUCUAAUACCGGAUAUGACUCCUCAUCGCAUGGUGGGGGGUGGAAAGCUUUUUUGUGGUUUUGGAUGGACUCGCGGCCUAUCAGCUUGUUGGUGAGGUAAUGGCUCACCAAGGCGACGACGGGUAGCCGGCCUGAGAGGGUGACCGGCCACACUGGGACUGAGACACGGCCCAGACUCCUACGGGAGGCAGCAGUGGGGAAUAUUGCACAAUGGGCGCAAGCCUGAUGCAGCGACGCCGCGUGAGGGAUGACGGCCUUCGGGUUGUAAACCUCUUUCAGUAGGGAAGAAGCGAAAGUGACGGUACCUGCAGAAGAAGCGCCGGCUAACUACGUGCCAGCAGCCGCGGUAAUACGUAGGGCGCAAGCGUUAUCCGGAAUUAUUGGGCGUAAAGAGCUCGUAGGCGGUUUGUCGCGUCUGCCGUGAAAGUCCGGGGCUCAACUCCGGAUCUGCGGUGGGUACGGGCAGACUAGAGUGAUGUAGGGGAGACUGGAAUUCCUGGUGUAGCGGUGAAAUGCGCAGAUAUCAGGAGGAACACCGAUGGCGAAGGCAGGUCUCUGGGCAUUAACUGACGCUGAGGAGCGAAAGCAUGGGGAGCGAACAGGAU